ACAUUUAUAAAUUCCUUAUCAAUGAUCCCUUGAGAAAUAUUAUAAAAGGACUAGCAUAUAAGCUUAUUGAUUAAAAUAUAAUCACCUCAUAUAAGAUAAUAAAAUUAAUUCCUUUUUGCUCCAAUUUGAUCUCCAUGAAUCACAAAGCAUUAUUCUUAGCUUUUUUUGUCAUAAUCCUCUGUCUAUUCUCAGCAACCUCUAGAAGAUUGACAGGUGUAGUAUUAAUCCCUUGAUUGUAAUGUUGUAUAGGGACGGAGCUAGAUAAAAUCGAGAAGGUUUUUUAGUAGAAAAUUAUAUUUUUUAUAUAUAGUUUAACUUAUUACUUUUUACGUAUAUAUAGAAGAUGUUAAACCUUCAUUGACUUCUUAUUUUGUGUUUCUAUUUCUUUAUAUUAAUGAAAAUUCUGACUUCAUCAUUCGUAAUAUAAUUGUACCAUUAGUUUCUUAUUUUAUACUAAAUUUUUUAUUUUUAUAACAAUAACUUCAUUUAAAAUAUAUUUCAUGUUUAAAUCAUUUUUUGUUUUGUAGGAAAAGUAUAAUAAAACAAGCUAAGUAUUAUUUAUAAAAAUUAAAAUUAAACAUAGCUUCAUCUUCAACUUAAAAUUUUUCAAAUAAAGUGAAAAGUAUUUGCAAUAAUACGUAGUAGCUAGUAUAUAAGAUCUAAUACUAUCUAUUUUGAGAUUUUACUCUUUUAUAUGUUUCAGAUAAAUUAAUCAAAUUGGGUGAUUUUACUAGCUUCUCGAAAGACAUAAUAUAUUAGCAUGCUCUUUAACUUGAGUCCGGAGCCUAAAGGGCAAAAAAAAUGGUAAAAAAUUCCAAAAGGGCACAUCACUUUUUAUUUUAGCCAAAAGGGCAAAAUCGCUGCGUUAUAUUAUUUUAUUUAUCUCAAUUUAUUUGAUAUAGUUUAUGAUAUGCAAAGGUUAUAGGAAAAAAAAAUUAAAUUAUUGUGUAUGUUACUUCACGGACUGAUUAGUUGACAUAUCCAGUGGCCCAACCCAUUAAAUUUUGGACGAGUUGGAAGGGUUAUAUAUUUCAAAUUGCAAAAAACAUGGUAUGAUCGAUGAGAGAUGGUAAUCUUUGUUGGUUUUGAAAUACAUAAUUUAAUCUGUAUGACCUAAUUUUUAAAAUAACCUUAUUUUGAAACGUAUUUUUAUGUGAAAAAAUUAUUUUUGAACAAGCACUUUUGGUGAGGAGCUAUUUGUUUUGGCCAAUUAGUAUUUGAUCGAAUUUCUAAAAGAUGUUUUUGUAUAUAUUUUCUCAAAAGUAUUUCUCAUAAUUUUAUUUUAUUUUAAGUAAAUUACUUUAUUUAUCGAAUAUGCAUCGCACAAGGAGUCACUAACAAAUGGUGUCUAGAUGUACACUAUCAAAAUUUGAAGUGUUUACUUAUCAACUGACAAUUGUAAUCAACUUUAUAUGUUUAUUUAGGUAUUAUACCUAAAAAUUAUAUACAUUAACGAUUUAUAUAAUUUAUGUUUUUUUAAAGAUUACAGAUCCAUUAUUUACACCAUUUCUUCUUUACAUGUUUGCAGCUCCUGGAGCAUGAACAGAGAUUGAGAAACAAAAAAGUUAUAUUGAGCAAGAACUUUAUAAUGAACAGAGAUUGAGUAACAAAAAAGUUAUAUUGAGCAAGAACUUUAUAUUAUAUUUAUAUAUGUUUAAUUAAAUAUGUUUUUUGAGUUGGACAAUUGUAUGUUUGGAUCUCCAUGAAAGAUCUUCAAUGGAGUUAAGGUAAUAAUAAAGAAUACUUAUGUUUGAUUUUUUGGUUAUAAAGACAUUUUAUAUAUAUCAAAGUAGGGAAUUUAUGAAUAGCAGCUAAGCAACUACACAUGAGUUAUAAUUCCAGGAUAAUAAUCAAGUUUCGCGGUCUGACUAGUUAACUUUGCCUUCAAGCUACCUCGCAUCACCACCAUCUGAAUAAUUUGUCUUGAGAGAACCAAAAAUUUCUCUUCUUGGUCUAAAAGACUCGAUUGCUCCUUUCGUGCCAUAUCGUAUAUAUUGUACCAGCUACAGUGAUUCUAAAUAGUUCAGCAUGUGCAUUCUUCCCAUUAAAGAAUACUUAUGUUAAUUAAGUUGAAUUAUGCUUGCACUUUGUAAUUAGUAAGGAAUUAAUACUUAUGUUAAUUAGGGAUAUUUAGCACUUUUAGUCCUUCAAAUAAUUCGUAAAUUUUGAUCUAGGACCUUUUGAUUUUUUGUAUAAGCAUGUUUAGUCUUCAAUUUAAUGGUAUUGCACACUUUUGAUCCCUCCGGUUGUGAGUUUAACAAAUUAUUUAAUGUUGAAUCAUUCAAUUAGUGGGACCGACAGCACACAUUUUAAUUAGUUAAUUGAAAGUUAUAAUGUGCUUGACAAAAUAUUAAUAACACAAGUUUUAGUUAAUCCUAUUUUAUAUAUUCCAACCACAUAUUACCGACUUCAGCUAACAAAAAUUGUCAAAUCCCACGAGUAAGAUCUGAACAGGAUUGGUUAUACAUAAAUCUUACUUCUAUUUAUGUGAGAUAUAAAAAAUUAAAGGCUACUUAUGAUAGUCGCUCAGCUGAAGAAAAAAAAAGGUAAAUAUUAGCUCCAUGUAAUAUAACUACAAUCAUUCAAUUUUAAUCACCAAUAGUUAAUGUCCAUUGAGUUUAAGCCCUAUGCUCAAGUAUUGAGUUGGUGAGAGAAGGAGAGACGCAAGUAAGAUUCUCAUAUAUAUACAAAUCACACUAAAUAUAUAUAUAUAUAUAUAUAUAUCUGGAAUAUCAUAUAUAAGGAGAGUGGAGAACACACUAUAAGAAAAGUGUGAAUUACAUGAGGAUUUUCCUGUGGAUUAGUAUGAAAAUUUUGCAGGAAAAUAAGUUUAAUUUCCUACGGAUUUUCAUAUUAAUCCCCAGGAAAAUUCUCAUGUAAUUCACACUGUUCUUGUAGUGGUAGCCAGCGAGAUACGAGAGGCGAGUGAGAGAGUCACUUGGAUACAUUGUAUCUAAAACAAAUUACACAUAAUUUUGACCAUCUGGAUGCACCAUAUACAUGUAUCCGAAGAACAAAAUUUGGUAAGACUCAUAAUAUUGCAAACUAGCAUGAAUCUAAGUAAUUAGCUCCUAAACUAGUGAGAUUUCACAAAUAGUCAAUUACAUACAUAUUAUUACCUUAAUUUAUUAUUUAAUCAUGAUAAAUUAUUUAAAUUGAUGUGAACAUUUCAUGCGCGUAAAGACUAAUCUACUGACUGGUGAGACUAUAUAUAAUAAAAAUAAAUUAGCUACUUCUCGACUUGGAAAAAACUUAGCACAUGAAAAGUGGACCAAAAGAAGUUUCAUUUAUGUCAAUCCAAUUCAAGCCCUAAAAAAAAAUAAAAAAUCAUAAAAAUAGUCUUUAACAACAAUAAAUAUGUGCAUUAAUAAAGAGAGGUAAAUCUUUUACUGGCAUUAGUUAAUUGUCAUUGGAUCAAAUGUCGCUAUAAGCUUUAGGGACAUUUAUAAAGAGUGUAAAUAAUUGCCUUGCGGCAAUUAAACUAUUACUGUUAAUUAAUUAUUGUUAAAGACCAUUUGAGUCAGACACAAGUUCCAUUUCUUAACAUACAGAGAUUUUAGUAGCUCGAUUGAUUUGCUACUUAAAAGUAUUUUUACAAAUUGAUUAGUCAUACACAAAUAUAACCUCUCACAAAAAAUAAAACAUUUUUCAAAAUAAAUUAAUUUUAGAAAGUUGACCAAACAAACUUAUUCAAGACCGAAAACAUCAUAGUCAUCAACAGAGGACUUGACCAAGUAAAAUAUUAUAAAUUAAAUAUCAUUUUCUCAUCUGAUUUAUAAAAUAUAUAUACAAUAUAUAGUGUAUGGUAUUUAUUUUAUACUAAACAUGUAUACAUAUUCGUAUAUCGAAGUAUAUAUAUAGUAUACAUAUCAUAUACAUAAUAUAUAUAGUACAUAUACAACGAAAAUAUAAAAAUAAUACAUAUUUUAAUCAUAUCGAUAAACUAGUUAGCGAAGGAUAUGUAAGUUUCCUAUAAAUGUUAGCCCAAGCCUCCCACCCCCCACCCCCCCAAAAAAAUGGAGGUGAUUUUUUUUUCAACAAUAAAGGGUCCACAAAUUUAUGAAUUCCUUAUGAAUGUUCCCUUGAGAAAUAUUAUAAAAGGACUAGCAUAUAAGCUUGUUGAUAAAAAUAUAAUCAUCUCAUAGAAGAUAAUUAAUUCCUUUUUGCUCCAAUUUGAUCUCCAUGAAUUACAAAGCAUUAUUCUUAGUCUUGUUUUAUCAUAAUCCUCUGUUCAUCCUCAGCAACCUCUAGGAGAUUGCCAGGUGUAGUAUUAAUCCCUUUAUUGUAAUGUAAUAUACAUGGACGGAGCUAGAUAAGUUCGAGAGGUUCAUCCUAACUCUCUUUAGUAGAAAAUAAUAUUGUUUAUAUAUAGUUAAAAUUAUUAUUUUAAAAGUAUAUAUAGUAGAUGUUGAAUCCCUAUUGACUUCUUAUUUCGUGUGUUUAUUUCUUCAUAUUAAUGAAAAUUCUGACUGCGUCAUUCAUAAUUUAACGUUACCACUUAAUAUUUUUUAUGUACAUAUAGUAGAUGUUAAACCCCUCACUGACUUCUUAAUUCGUAUGCUUAUUUCUUUAUAUAUACUUGUUUGGCUAUUAGAAUUAUUCAUGUUUUUUUCUUUAAAAAAAGUCACUUUAUUUGAAAAUCAGUGUUUGGUCAUGAAAAUUUCAAACUCACUUAAAGUAGUAUUUGAAAUUUGAAAAACACUCAAAAUCUUAUUUUCCUUUUCACAAUAGUAGACGUUUGACCAUUUUCAGUGUGAAAAUAGAAAAAAAUAAUUUUUAUUUUCAAAAUGAAAAAUGAUAUAUGGUUGUGUUUGACCAUGGAAUAAAUUAUAGGUGGUUUUUUGAAUUUUUGUGAUUAAUUUAGAGCGAAAAAGUGAAUUUGUUGUGUUUGAAAAUUCUGAAAUCCCUGAAAAAAGUUAAAAUACUUUCUUUUUUUCAGAAUUUUAUGGCUAAACAUAUUUAUUGGAGUUCGUAAAAAAUUUCAUGGCCAAACACCUACAUAAAAACAACUAAAUACUAUUUACUAAAAUUAUAACUAAUCACAGCACCAUCUUCAACUUCAACUUAAAAAGUUUCAAAUAAAGUGAAAAGUAUUUGAAAUAGUACAUAAUAGCUCAUAUAUGUUUCAGGUAAAUUAAUCAAAUUGAGUGAUUUUGCUAGUUUUUAGAAAGGCAUACACAUUAACAUGCCUUUUAACUUGGCCUCAGCUAACAUUUAUGCUCUCCAACUUUGAGUGUACAUUACACAACUCAAACUUUAAGAUUUCCAAAUAAAAAUAAUUUUUUAAAAAGCUCAUAGCCAAGGGCCCACUACUAGUAUUUUGAUUUUUAACCUUAAUUAUUAGUAUUAUUUUUCCAAAUUUAAAUGUUACUUGUAUGAUGUAUAACUUAAUUCCUCUUUAACUAUAGGUUAUAGAUGCAAUGACUAUAAAUUUCGAGAAGAAUCGUGUUCACCACGUAGAUCCCUCUACCUUAGAGAUUUUGAGGAACCAAUCCAAGCACCAGAUUCAAUAUCGCCACCUG
Molecule: long non-coding RNA, 5522 nt
Filed under: Solanum tuberosum (potato)
Lineage: Eukaryota; Viridiplantae; Streptophyta; Magnoliopsida; Solanales; Solanaceae
Description: long non-coding RNA (STUB_LNC005326)
Source: RNAcentral